UAUAAACGAUGCCCCCCAUAGGGGGUCUCUGAGGCCAUCCACGUUAGGCCACUCGGCGCGCGCGGGCUGGCCGCUCGCUUCGCUCUUCUCCACCGGCUCGGCCACGUACCAGCUUUUGGUUGGUUCAUCUCAGGGAAUAAGAAAAAGAAUCGGGAGGAGGGGAAAUAGGCCGUGACCCAGCAAACCCAAUCCCCGCGCGCCUCGCAGCCGCCGCUCGCGCCUCCCAUCCCCGCCGCCGCCUUGCGCCUCGCGCCUCCCAUCCCGCCGCCGCCUCGCGCCUCCCAUCCCCACUGGCGUCGUGCGCCUCUUCUCGCCCACGACGCGGCCGGUUCCUUCUCCGCGUAUUCUCGCCCACGCUCCACAGCCUCCGGCCCCGAGCUCUCCGCCUCGACUCACCGCCUCCCCUGCUCACCGGAGGAGGAGGCCGAACCAUCCAUGAUGCAGGCGUCAUCACCCUGAUGUGCGCGUCGUCGCGCGGGAAGGAGGCAUCCUUGCCGCAGGUGGAGCUCCGGCGGCCGAGCUGGCUGUAGCGCCGCCGCCUCGCUCUCACAGAGCACGAGCCGCCGGGAUGAGCCGCAGGCCGCCGCUUGUGCCCCCACCGUGCGAGGACCAGCAGCGCUCGCCAGGGCGGUGGAGCACGUACAUCUCAGGCAUCUCUCUCUCUCUCUCUCUCUCUCUCUCUCUCCAUGAGAAGCCCCAUGGAUCCUCUCUCGUUUGUCAUCUCUUUUUACUCAGAUUCUAUUUUAUGUAUGCUGGGAAGGUGUUUGACAUAAUUCAUGCAGGGCAAGAUUGAUCUAUUUCAUAUCUUUACUCUAUUGAUUGCUCAAUAAUUUCGUUCUUCUCUCUGUAAAAAAUAGCUCUAGUGCGUUCCAAGAUUUUGCAUCAUUUUUUUGCAUAAAAAUGGCUCUAGUGCGUUCCAAGACUUGGUAUUCCAUUGUAGUUCCUGGUCAUCCUCCUCCUCUACAGAACUGAUUGAUGCUCUUAGGGAUAAUUUUUUUGUUUCAGCAUAUAUACUUCAGUCCAUAUGUGCAUUAUUUAUUCCUUGGUGUUUUGACAUGACGCUGGAUGGUGGCGAGCAGUUUCAAGGUGCACACGAGCUUCUUCUACUAUUAUUCUGUUAUUGAUGCCACCUCAUGAGAUUUGUCCAACUCCACUUUGUUUGGUCCAUAUAUACGAUGUAUUCAUGGAUUGGGAUAAAUAUUUCCUUCUUUUUUGGUCACGGUUUGGUGUUUCUCAUCUGAACAUGGAUUUAGUAUGUGCCCUUCUGCAUCCAAGCAUACCACUCUGUUCUCAAUGGCAAUUUGUUACCUCUUUUAAAUUUUUUAAACAAGCUCAUUUUGAUUUGUAAGGUGGAUAAAGGGUUCCUGUUAUUUUACAACUAACAGUGGCAAAACUAUUUAGGAAGGUGUACAUGACCCUUGCAGCUCUAUUCAGGUCAUAUGACAAGGGUGCCAAUGGUAUAUUGUCUGACAUGUCGAGCCUUCUGUUCUACAGGAAAUCCCAUUGUUUAUUUCAUUUACGGAAUAUAAUGAUGACACAUCUUUGGUGCAGCUAGAGAUAAUAAAGCAAUUAGAGAGAGUUAUGGUGAAUCUAGGAUAAUGUGUAUCUAUUCAGCUGUACCAAAUAUUCAUCCUCUCCUUCAGGUAAAAAGUAUCCUCUUGUUUGUACAUGUAUUUCACAUAAUCUCAUUUCAUCCGUUCUGGUUAAAAAUAGUCUGUAUAAAAGUUUUGGCAGAUUACUUUACCAUUUUUGUAGUUGGAUUAAGGAACCAUUUACUGCAGUUUUUGAUGUUUUGUAUCCAACUCUUAAAAUGGCGUGGUGUGUGCCUUCUCACUGAACUGUAACUUUUUUUACAUGUUUCUAGGCUGUACAUAGUGUAUCAGCAUUUCCGGUUGCAAUUGUAUUGUCAGAAUUAGGCUUGCUAAUUCAUUUCCGCAAUCCGCACACUCUUGGGUGUGUAAUCAAUCUGUAUGAAUUUUGGCUAACUGAUUUUGUAGAUCUUUGACUUCACAAGCCUGUGAUUUUGCCACUGUUCUUUGUGGCGAGGAAAACUUUGAUAUAUUUAGUAUAUGCGAUACGCUUUUGUGACCUAUGCUGAUUCAAAUAUUGUGUUAAUCAUUCAUAGGCGUAGGCAGCUGAAAGCUCUAGCGGACGGGAUAAUGCAAAAAGAAGAAGACUUGAAUUAGAAACGGUUACAAUAUUUGAAAUGAUCUGCAUAUCUCUUCGCAUGUGCUGUUCGGUAUACUUAUGCCUAUAGAUGAUUUGGGUUUCUCACGUGAGAAAGUUGUUAGAUCUGUAUGGCUUAUCAUCUGCUUGCCAUAGGUUGCGAUUUAGCACUGAUUACUUCUUGGUUUGCUUUUUAGUAGUGUUGCUGAGAGGAGAGGCGACACAAACCAUUGGUAGUUGUUUGCUUCCUGUUAUAUACGUACCGGGAUCUGAGGAUAGUGUUCCUCCCUUUUCUGUGAUCAUCUACAUAUGAUGCAACAGUUGUCUUUGCAUCUCCACUGGGUGGUGGUUACACCCUUUCGUAUGUGAAUGCUUUUGGCUAAUGCUACUAUCUGUUGCUUAGUUAUUUAGUGUGUUCUGUCAUGUGGUGUGUUUCUAAGAAAAAAAAUGUAUAUUCCUGGCUUACCACUGCUCUGCUCUUCUUUUAUUAUUAGGACUAUAAGAAUAAUAUUGACAUUUUUCCACCAAUACAUGAGUUGCACAGGAUCGAUAAUUUUUUAGCUUAGGGAGCGUUUGUGUGCAAGUGCUUGAGGCUAGGUAAUUGGCUAAAAUGGUUGUUUUUCUUGCCCCCAUCACAUUCAGCCUCUAUUGUACUAACCAUGUGUUUUUUGUUUUGUUUGCAAAUGUGUUGUUCCCUGACCAAGAGGAGAUCUUGGAGCAGUUGUAUAUACAUAUUGCAGAAUUGAAUGGUGGUGAUUGAUUUGAAAUGUAAAAAAUCAAGGUUUCUUUCUAGGGUUCUUCCUAGGAAUUUUGCAAUCAUGAUCUGACGUAGGUAAAUAUUGUGGUUGUUUCCACCGCGAGGAAACAUUUUCCAGCAAUUGAAGGUGCUCUUUGGCUCAUCAAUGACAAGCACCAAAGAUAAUACAUGCAGGAGGUUGAGAAGAAGUAACAUGUACUGAGGUAGAACUCAAAAGAUUGUGGCAGGUGUCCCCGGCUGUGCGUGGAGUUUCGACAUGAGCAGACAUCCCCGGCUAUGAUGCACCACGACUUGAAGCGCAGCUGCACACUUCACAAGCCAUCGACUCUGAAGGCGUUAGUAUUUUUUAUCCCAGAAAGCUACUCAGAUACCAGCUGAUUAGAGUAAACGCCAAGGGCAUGAAUGAGGGCUGCAAAUGGUAGAAAUAUCUGAGGAUGUACGGGUGGUGAUAUUCUCCGUGUCGCUCAGCGACUAUGACCAACUGGGAGUCUCUGCAAGUGGUGGCAGUAGGCGCCUUUAGAAUAAGAUGACCCAAAGCAGGGACUUGUUUGAGGCCACAAUCAGGUGAUAAAAUCAGUGACAGACUCUCUAACAGAGGCCAUCUCGUGACGGUGGUGCAAGAGCACAACCUUUUGCACAGAAUAGCAUUCUGUAUGUAAGGGAUCUGGAUUGUUUGGUCGAUAUCUUCACUCUGAGCUACUCAUGGUCGUACUGCCAGUUGAAACAUCAAAUUAUCCAUACCCACUUCAGUUUUGCUCGUUUCAGGAGUGUCGUUGCUGCUGCCAGAUAUCACUGAGAUUGUUUUUUCGUCAGGACAAUGGAUUUCUGCAAUAUAUCUUCAGUAUGAGACUGACAAAGCUGAAACUCUAUCAUCCAGUGACAAGUACAUGUUGUUGCUCAAGUAUGUCAAUAGGUAAUAUUUUCUCUUUGGGAUGCUGGGAAUGUAAGCAAAAUUAGUGUGGCCUCCUGUCUGUACCUCUAAGUUGAACCAAAUAAUGGUGGAUACUCUAAUUUUACAUCAUUCCAAGUGAACCCUCAAUUGCUUAUGAUGACUUUAUUUUGGGGCAUACAAUUAUCUACCGGUAGGCAUCAGCUGAUACAUAGAAUUUGAGACGAGGCAGCAUCGUGUGACCCCUCGCUCCGACCACUCAGGGUUCCCCUCUUCAUGGUUGUCAUCAUCCUAGACCCUAGGUUACUUGCACUGAUAAAUAGAGAUUGAGCCAGUCAUGUAUCAAGAUUCUGAUAUACCUUCAUUUUCUGAUCUUCUUUUGUGGAGAUUGAGCCAGUCUUAGGAUCUGCCAUCUUCAAGUCGGGGGCAUUCUUGAGACUAACUAUGGGAAGUUACAAAAAAAAACGGUUGGGAAGGAGUAGCCGAACUGAUGAAGGGGGUAGGACUUGACCGCUUAACCUCUUGAUUUUCUCGACACUGGCAAAAUAUGUUUAUCUCUCCUUUUGCUAACAAUGCGCAUGGUUAGUAUUUUAGGUAUACAUUCACUAGCUACAAUGAUAUCUCUGAAGUACAUGGAAAUCCCAAAUCGAACAUGGGAGGAUCGUGACAGCGUUGCUCUUGCGGAUUUUAUUAGCUCGAUUUUACCAACAUUAUUCCUUUUGUAGAUAGCCCAGCUUAUGUAGAUGUUUCUACUGUUGUUCGUUUCUUCUAUUGCUCUUGACAUAGCCAUCAAGUAUUUGCUACCAUGAUAUAUUUCUUUCCUGGUGUAUAUAAAUUACUUCGUUUGUAACUUUGUGUGUUUUAUCGUAAGAUCAUUAUAUCGAUAUCCUAAUAAAAAAUUUAUCAUUUGCACAA
Molecule: long non-coding RNA, 4727 nt
Organism: Lolium perenne
Lineage: Eukaryota; Viridiplantae; Streptophyta; Magnoliopsida; Poales; Poaceae
Source: RefSeq, a predicted model, not a curated record